RNAcentral lists this transfer RNA (78 nucleotides) under Halomonas cupida. Its description in RNAcentral is "tRNA-Thr". The record is from RNAcentral. Lineage: Bacteria; Pseudomonadati; Pseudomonadota; Gammaproteobacteria; Oceanospirillales; Halomonadaceae.
CGACGCCGGUGUUGAUGGGCAGAGACUGCUCUGGGUUGGUACCCCAGGUAAUCCGUGGUUCGACCUCACAGGCGUCGA